This 309-nucleotide long non-coding RNA is filed under the name Trifolium pratense (red clover). Its description in RNAcentral is "long non-coding RNA (TPRA_LNC011943)". Lineage: Eukaryota; Viridiplantae; Streptophyta; Magnoliopsida; Fabales; Fabaceae. The record is from RNAcentral.
CCACAAGAACAAUUUAAGUAAUUAUCAGCUUGCAUCACUUAAGCGCCAAGCUUGUACCUGUUGUGUACAAUUAAAGUCUUGGCAAUUAAAUCUUAAGUUUAUCAUUCUAAAACAGUUAAGUUUUGUAAGAUUAUAAUUAUUAUUAGGUUUAAUUAGUCUUUUGGUCCCUUAAAGAUAUUUUAGGUUUCACAAUGGUCCCUUAAAGAAAAAAAGGUCCGGAUUGGUCCCUUAAAGACACAUUUGUUUCUCAAUUGGUCCUUUCUGUCAAUUUUUUACAAAAAACGUUAGUUUUAGUUGACUGGAUUGUAG